AGAGUUUGAUCCUGGCUCAGGACGAACGCUGGCGGCGUGCCUAAUACAUGCAAGUAGAACGCUGAAGAGAGGAGCUUGCUCUUCUUGGAUGAGUUGCGAACGGGUGAGUAACGCGUAGGUAACCUGCCUUGUAGCGGGGGAUAACUAUUGGAAACGAUAGCUAAUACCGCAUAACAAUGGAUGACACAUGUCAUUUAUCUGAAAGGGGCAAUUGCUCCACUACAAGAUGGACCUGCGUUGUAUUAGCUAGUAGGUGAGGUAAUGGCUCACCUAGGCGACGAUACAUAGCCGACCUGAGAGGGUGAUCGGCCACACUGGGACUGAGACACGGCCCAGACUCCUACGGGAGGCAGCAGUAGGGAAUCUUCGGCAAUGGGGGCAACCCUGACCGAGCAACGCCGCGUGAGUGAAGAAGUAUUUCGGAUUGUAAACUCCUGUUGUUGAGGAAGAUAAUGACGGUACUCAACAAGGAAGUGACGGCUAACUACGUGCCAGCAGCCGCGGUAAAACGUAGGUCACAAGCGUUGUCCGGAAUUACUGGGUGUAAAGGGAGCGCAGGCGGGAAGACAAGUUGGAAGUGAAAUCCAUGGGCUCAACCCAUGAACUGCUUUCAAAACUGUUUUUCUUGAGUAGUGCAGAGGUAGGCGGAAUUCCCGGUGUAGCGGUGGAAUGCGUAGAUAUCGGGAGGAACACCAGUGGCGAAGGCGGCCUACUGGGCACCAACUGACGCUGAGGCUCGAAAGUGUGGGUAGCAAACAGGAUUAGAUACCCUGGUAGUCCACACUGUAAACGAUGAUUACUAGGUGUUGGAGGAUUGACCCCUUCAGUGCCGCAGUUAACACAAUAAGUAAUCCACCUGGGGAGUACGACCGCAAGGUUGAAACUCAAAGGAAUUGACGGGGGCCCGCACAAGCAGUGGAGUAUGUGGUUUAAUUCGACGCAACGCGAAGAACCUUACCAAGUCUUGACAUCCUGCGACGGACAUAGAAAUAUGUUUUUCCUUCGGGACGCAGAGACAGGAGGUGCAUGGUUGUCGUCAGCUCGUGUCGUGAGAUGUUGGGUUAAGUCCCGCAACGAGCGCAACCCUUAUGGUCAGUUACUACGCAAGAGGACUCUGGCCAGACUGCCGUUGACAAAACGGAGGAAGGUGGGGAUGACGUCAAAUCAUCAUGCCCUUUAUGACUUGGGCUACACACGUACUACAAUGGCGUUAAACAAAGAGAAGCAAGACCGCGAGGUGGAGCAAAACUCAGAAACAACGUCCCAGUUCGGACUGCAGGCUGCAACUCGCCUGCACGAAGUCGGAAUUGCUAGUAAUCGCAGAUCAGCAUGCUGCGGUGAAUACGUUCCCGGGCCUUGCACUCACCGCCCGUCA
Molecule: ribosomal RNA, 1375 nt
Filed under: uncultured bacterium
Lineage: Bacteria
Description: bacterial SSU rRNA
Rfam family: Bacterial small subunit ribosomal RNA
Source: RNAcentral